Molecule: ribosomal RNA, 253 nt
Filed under: uncultured bacterium
Lineage: Bacteria
Description: partial 16S ribosomal RNA
Rfam family: Bacterial small subunit ribosomal RNA
Source: RNAcentral
UACGUAGGUGGCAAGCGUUGUCCGGAUUUACUGGGCGUAAAGAGCGUGUAGGCGGCCAAACAGGUCCGUUGUGAAAACUGGAGGCUCAACCUCCAGACGUCGACGGAAACCGUGUGGCUAGAGUCCGGAAGAGGAGAGUGGAAUUCCUGGUGUAGCGGUGAAAUGCGCAGAUAUCGGGAGGAACACCAAUUGCGAAGGCAGCUCGCUGGGACGUUACUGACGCUGAGACGCGAAAGCGUGGGGAGCGAACAGG